RNAcentral lists this long non-coding RNA (213 nucleotides) under Setaria viridis. RNAcentral's name for it is "long non-coding RNA (SVIR_LNC006915)". Lineage: Eukaryota; Viridiplantae; Streptophyta; Magnoliopsida; Poales; Poaceae. The record is from RNAcentral.
CCUGACCCUACCUGUUCCGCCGACCCCUCUCCGUCUCGCCCGAGGGCUCGGCUGUAACCUUUUCCUCAAACCAAGGGUGUAUGUGUAAAACUUGGGAACCCUUCAGCGAUUGAGCCUGAGGAUCCCUAACACACCAACCCUCUAGUUUAAGGGUCAGGUCACAAGUUCCUUUCUCGGACCCUUACCUCUUGAUCUCCACCAACUCCCUUGAAC